Molecule: ribosomal RNA, 482 nt
Filed under: uncultured bacterium
Lineage: Bacteria
Description: partial 16S ribosomal RNA
Rfam family: Bacterial small subunit ribosomal RNA
Source: RNAcentral
AUUGAACGCUGGCGGCAGGCCUAACACAUGCAAGUCGAGCGGAUGAAGGGAGCUUGCUCCUGGAUUCAGCGGCGGACGGGUGAGUAAUGCCUAGGAAUCUGCCUGGUAGUGGGGGAUAACGUCCGGAAACGGGCGCUAAUACCGCAUACGUCCUGAGGGAGAAAGUGGGGGAUCUUCGGACCUCACGCUAUCAGAUGAGCCUAGGUCGGAUUAGCUAGUUGGUGGGGUAAAGGCCUACCAAGGCGACGAUCCGUAACUGGUCUGAGAGGAUGAUCAGUCACACUGGAACUGAGACACGGUCCAGACUCCUACGGGAGGCAGCAGUGGGGAAUAUUGGACAAUGGGCGAAAGCCUGAUCCAGCCAUGCCGCGUGUGUGAAGAAGGUCUUCGGAUUGUAAAGCACUUUAAGUGGGGAGGAAGGGCAGUAAGUUAAUACCUUGCUGUUUUGACGUUACCAACAGAAUAAGCACCGGCUAACUUCG